RNAcentral lists this ribosomal RNA (448 nucleotides) under uncultured eukaryote. RNAcentral's name for it is "bacterial SSU rRNA". It matches the Rfam family "Eukaryotic small subunit ribosomal RNA", at positions 554 to 999 of the family's 1831-position model. The record is from RNAcentral.
GGCAAGUCUGGUGCCAGCAGCCGCGGUAAUUCCAGCUACCAAUAGCGUACGUUAAAGUUGCUGCAGUUAAAAAGCUCGUAGUUGAACGUUCGGGUUCCGCGGGACGGGGCCGCCCCGCGAGGGACGGCGCCGCCCCGGGGCUCGUGAUAUCUUAUCUCGCCGCCCGUCGCGAGGCGGACGGAGGGAUGGAUGAGGUUACCUGGAAAAAUCGGGGCGAUCUAGGCGGGCGAACCUCGCCAACGAACGAUCGGACAUGGGAUAACGGAAGAGGGCGUCGGCUCGACUUCGUCGGUUCCUCGGGCCGAGGCACGUACGGUGAAUAGGGACGGUCGGGGCCGCCCGUACCGGGUCGUGAGAGGUGAAAUUCUAGGAUCGACCCGAGACGAACUGCCGCGAAAGCAUUCGGCAAGGACGCUUUCAUUAAUCAAGAACGAAAGUACGGGGGAUC